AAAUAAUUAAAAAAUAAUGCUUUUUUGUUUGUCGUGUUAAAAUCGUAAGUACCGAAGUACUGUGAAAGAGAUUAAUUUACAGAAACUGAAGCCAAGGGUUCAAAAAAAAAGUGCAAAGAGAAUAAUUGUAUUGGUAGCACAAUGUCAUAUUCAUACAGAGAUCAAGUAUAUUAUUUACGGCUAGUAAGGACUAAGAAUUAAUUGUACACUAUUGUUUUAUUCUACAAUCAAUCUUGACCCUUGAUGCUUGGCUCUCAAUCUUGUCCAUUGAUCUUCUCUGAUUUUGGAGACUUGAAGACCUUUCAGUAUUAUGCCUUGUUGUUGGUGUCUUCCAUGCGGUAGAACCGACGACUUGCCAAGUGUUUGUUCAUUGACGCAUUUUAUCAAACAGUUGGCCUGCUCAUAGCAAACAGCUCCUGUUUUAAUUCGAUGUUAUACGGGUAUUUCAUUUAUUUGAGUAGGGGUUAGGGGUCAAUUGGAUACAAAUUCAAAAUUAUCCUUACUUGAGAUGGUGAUAAAAAUUGGGGAUUUAAUUUGGAUGUGAUUAGCUACAAAUAUUAAGCUCAUACAUUUAAUUCAAAAUUGGAGGGCUGAUAUAUGUGCAUCAUCGUGCACGUUAUAGUGACACUGCGUCACCAUCCCACAACCUCUCCAAUGAAAAAUUGACAUGCAUCUUGUGCGCUUCUGAUCAAAAUCCUGAAAAUUAAUCACAAAGUUAUACUUUUAUUAUAAAAAGAAUAAAGAAACUCCAAGAAAAAAAAAAUAGACUUACAUAAAUAGUUUGAGUAUUCUAGAUUCCAAGUUGUCUAUAUUAGCUUGAUCUUUUUAUAAAUAGUCAUCUUCGAAAAAAAAUUCCACCACCAUAUAUUUUAAUUUUAUGUUAAUUAAUAAAUAGAAAAAAAAUCAUUUUAGAAUUAAUUAAAACAUUAUUUAUUGUUGCCAAAAAAAAGGAAGAAUUUAGUGAUAAGAAAAAAGUGUCUCAAAUAUACGUUAAAAAAAUUAAUCAUGGUGGGUUCGAUUGAUUGAAUUUUUUUUUUUAUCUUUUUCUUUUUUAAGAAUUAAGACAAUUGGAUUGAUUGAGUAAUAAUAAAAUAUAUUUAUUUGGCAAAUGGCAGUUAGGCUUUCUUCUGAUGCAGAUUAAUUAGAGAGAAUAUAUAACCAUUUUAAGCUCGUCAGAUUCGGAACCUGCUUAUCUGUCGUGUGGGGAUCACUUCCGUGUCUUAUUUUUCUACAAAAAUCUAGACCAUUGGAUUUCCCAUUAGUCAAUAGAUAAAUGUUUGAUCUUGAUUCUUGAUUAAGAUCGAAGUUUGAUUCUAACCAACAUGAUGUCUGAUUCAGAUUGCGAAGCCAGCAAAUUGAAAGUAACUUGUUCUAUUUUGAUAAAACAUUCUCAUAGUAAAGUGAAUUACCAUCCAACGAUCCAACUCAUGUUUUCAAAUUGUAAAUUGCAAAUCGUGUGUUUGCCCCAUUACAGAGUUUCUUCAAUCUGAAAUAGAGAAUCAUUUGUGUUCUAGAUUAAUCGUGGGUCUAUAUCCAAAUCUAAAAAUUGACUAAAUUCUUAAUCCUAACAAGAAAAAUUGAAGAUUAAAAACAACUAAUUUGGUACCAUACCACUAUUGUAACAUAGGUAGAUCCUCUAUUAAUUGGAGUAAAGAUUGAAUUAUCUCAUUUAUUAAGGUUUAUCAAAAUCUUGUGUCAAAAUCUAUUAAUGAUAUAGGUUCAAGGAUGAAAGAGUCACUUCAUUACUUUUGAGUUCCCAAAUAGAUGAAUGGGUGUUAUUUUUGGAUUCCGGAGAGUCGAAAAUAUUAGGAUAGGUGCUAAAUCGAAUUAAGUUGUAGAUAAGAUAGAAAUGGAUUUGGAGAGAUUGGAAUCCUAGGUAAUCCGGUGCACGUUGUCGUGUUAAAUUAUCGUUGACUUCACGUUGACUGAAGCAUUAUUGGAAGAAACAAGUUUAUUGAUGUGAGGCCUUUGAGAUUGUAAGUGUUAAAUCUGAGAAGAAUACCCACACACCCAUUAUCCUAUUACUCUUAUAUCACAUGAAGAGAAUUCAACAUUUGAUUCACACGGAAAAAAUUUGUGAGGAUUGUGAGGGUUGAUGGAAUAUAAUUUAGAUACAAAGUGUUUACCAGUGCGAUGCUUCGCAAGUGUUCUUGAAUCAAUAUAAACUCACAUUAUUUUCAUAGUGAUUGUUUCAUCUGCACGUGGAUAUAAUCACAUGUCGAGAUUUUUUUCCUUAAAUUAUGGUCUUAUUUAGUAUUGAGGUGUUAUAUCUUUUAAGGUACAAUUAUUGUUGGAAAAAAGUUACAACUAUCAAAUAAAAUUAAUACUAUGUGCUAAAUAUAAUUGUUAAAUAAUAAUUUUGACAAAAUUAGUGAAGUUAUAUAGAUUUUUUUUCAUCAUCCAAGUAUAAAAUCAAAUCAACUUAACUUCUAAGUUAUAUAUCGGUUACUGUUUAUCAUAUGUUUUAGUUCUGUAACUUUUAAGUUAUAGUUACCCAACCUCAAUUCUAAACAAGACCUAUAAAGAUCAAAGAUUUCCUCAUUAAAUUAUAUGUCUUGUGAUUGCUUAUUUAAUUUAUAUUUUUGUUAUUUAUCUUUAUUAAUUAUAAUCAUCUUUUUAUAAAUUAAAAUUGAAGGAAGUUGAUUGAUGUUGUUGACACACACGCACACACUCACAAAGACAUAUUGGAAGUGCUUACGUCGACUCGAAGUUGUUGGGAAUUAAUGCAUGUAUUGAUUUAUUGGGAGUGUUUAAAUGAUUUUGUGAUUUACUUGAUUUAUUGAUUGAAUAUUGUUUGAUUGCUUCAUAUCCAUUCUAGAAAGUUUAUUUCUUUGUGAAAGUUCAACGAAAUAUGUUUUUUUUUUUUUAAAUAAGGGUGUUCUAAAUAAUUUUAAAAAAUAUAUGGACUAAUUAGAAUUAAUUAUUAGGUAAUUAACUCAAUCUGUACGGGGUAAAACAACAUUUAUCCUAAUUAUAUCAUGAUAAAUACUUUUCCGAUUAGAAUUAGGAAAUCAUAGGUUUGUUGAAUUGUUUUUUUUUUAUUUUCCUUUGCGGAAACGGAUUAGAGAAUUAGAAAACAAUCAUGUUGAUGUCAAAAUCUGAUCUAGUCGGUUAGCGACUUAAUAUCAUAUUACUGCACCAGUAUUAAAUUUAUUUGGUAGAGAAUCGGCUGGUCAAUUGUCAAGAUGUCCUGCAAUCACUAGCGAUUAACCUACGAAUAUAUGAAAUUAUAGAAGACGGUAAGAGGCACCGGAAGUUUUUUCGUCGUGAACCUUCUGACGCUCAAGUCAGUUUAUAGGUUUACGAUAAUAAAAAUAAAUAAUUUCUAUUUAAAACAAAAAAUAGAGUUCAAAAGCUCAAAAAUAAAACCCAAUCCCAAUAUGAAAAUGAAUAUCUUUUUUUUUAGCUUGGCCGAAUCCUUCUGCCUCCUAAAGAAACAUAAUAGAGAAGCCGGUAGCCAUGUUCCCUAGGUAACGCCCCACUCCCCUCUUUUAUUCCUCCCCCUCUCUUCUGUUUCCUUCUUUUGCUCACUAUCCUUUAUAAUUUUUUAUGCUUGUCUUCCCAAAAUAGCCUUUGAAUACACAAGUAAAUGUCUAGGCUUUGGUGAGGAUAGUUUGGUUAUUGCAUUUUACAAGUAAGAUGAGUGGUGGAGAAAAAUGAGGAGUGCAUAUAACUCUUCAGCAAAUCCCACCAACAAUUCCAUUUUCUUAAUUAAUUAAUCUCCUUUUUUAUCCCCAAACAAAUCCUAAUGAUACUAUUAUCAGGUUUAAAACAGUACAUAAAUAGUGAAAAGCUAACUAGUCUGUAGAUUAAUUUGCUAAUUGCUAUCUCCUCUCUACGCGCUCUGAAUAAUUUGUUGCAUGCAAACUUUUUAUUUUAUGCAAAUCGUACGUACUGUAACAUUGGAAUUGAUGUAUAAGCAAAAAUACAAGAAUCUUUAUGUCAAUAAAAAUAGUUUUUUUUUCCUUUUUAAAUAAACACAACGCGAUGUUGCUCUUCUCUACAUUGUUGCUAUCUCUUUAUUCCCUUUUUUUUUUUUCGGCUUCUUAAAGCCUCAAACUUUGAUAACCAAAACUUCAUCAAACUUUGAAAAAAAUCUGUCUGGUUAGUUAUUAUUAUCGGAAUAAUUAUUUGAGAAUACUAAAACAAAAUAUAAAUAAGAAAAUACGGGGUUAAAUUUGGGGAAAACAAAAAGGCAUGUUGGAUAGAUUACUAUAGUUUAAGGGAAAAAAAAUCCAAUUGGGAAUUUUUUUCUUUAAUUUUUGUUUUACUUGAUUGAGAUUUCUCCUUAGUCCUUACAGUUUUAAGUUUGGACUCCGUAGGGUUAGUAAUUUAGUACUUCCUUUGCAAGCUGAGUGCAAGAAUGAAAAUCUUUAAAGAAAUUAAAAAAGAUUAAAAAAAAGCAUACCAAUAGGUAAUUAUAAAUAACCAUAAAUAAACAUAAACAAAAUGUUUAUGAAGUAAAUUACACAUGCACAUAUUAUUUUUUUGUUUUAUUUCUUACUUGUCAAUUUUAUUUGCUGCUUGAUAACCCGUAAAUACUAAUCUAGUACUGCUAAUUUCAGACACAAAAUUUUUAACUCUAGGCUGCAGUUUUACUCAAAAUGAUGACCACUGGCUUCGCACCAUUUAACCGGCAUACAUUUCUACAAAUUGAACAAGGCUAUUGAUUUUCAUUAUUAUUUUUUAUUUAUUUAUAAAUUACCAUUUUAAUUUUCACUUUUUAUUGGGCUGUUGAACGGAUUAGUGAAGUUGGUGGUCGUGAUGCACUCAUAAGGUACAAUUUUAUUUUAUAAUUUCAAAUUUGUAUUUUAAAAUGCAGGUACAUUAUGUAUACAUAAUUAUUGAUUUUCGUAUGUGGGUGUUUUGAAAUAUUGCUAAAAGACCAAACUUUAAUAAACUAUUUUUCAUCUUUUUUUUUCCUUUUUUCCUAAAGUUCGAGUGAUAUCCGCAUUUUAAAUUCAUGUGGAACAAAAUCUAAUGUAUGCACAAAAUUCUUUUAUUUUUUCCAAGAAAAAUGGGUAAGAGAAGAAGAUUUUUCUCUUGAAAAAGAAAAACUAAUAUGAUGCAAGCAUAGGAAAGAGGUCAGUGUUUUGGAUUAGAAUUUAGUAUUGAGCUGAAUUUUAUACUAAACUCUUUUAUGGUACUGCGAUUAAUAAACUCAUGAUUUGCUUUUGCUUUUGCUUUUACUUCAAGUGAAAGAAAGAGGAAACCUUUUGUUUUUUGUUUGAUUCUUGACUACAGAUGUUAGCUAUAUAGAGAGUUGAGGUAGCAGCCUUAAGUGAUGGUGAUAAAAAGAUUAGGCAGCGCACACAAUCUUACUGUCGUCCAGACCAUCCAGCUGUGAUGACUCUAGUUUUUUGGUUACAUUAGCUUUAGUGGAAAGGAGGGCCAAUUUAACAAAGACUAGAUUUGGUGGCUUACUAUAAUGCUUAUUCUCAGGGAAUCUAAUGUUAUAAGAUGAUUUAAUGAUCUUCUAUGAUUGUGAGUAGUAUAGUAUAAUUGAAAAGAGCCUGGGCUCCUAUGAUGAAUAUAUAAUAGUAACGCAGUACUGUGAUUGAAAAAAACACAGUUACAAUAAACUCUUCAUUUAUUCAUUGCGGAGAUUGAAUGGCAAACAGAGAAUAAAAUGAAGCAGAGGAAUCUCAUUGCCAGUAAAAUUGACCCUCUUUAAUGUUAUAUGGCACAGGUGUGUGUACAGCAAGAGCAAGUUACUUGCAGUUUUUAUUGUAAAAUAUACAGGUUAUGACCAUGAUCAUUGUAGUUAGGUUUUGAUGAUUUUAGAUGCUUUUUUUAUUUUUAUUUUUUAAAUUGUGACACCUUUGAUUUAUGGUAGUUUUGCAGAAGAAAAAAAUAUAUAUAAAAAUUAGGAGGGAUGAGUUAACUAACAAUUGCAAUCAUUGCAGUAAUGUUGAUGAGUGAUACAUCAUUUGAAAUUUACUUGUCAGUUGCUAAAAUGAUGAAAAAAAACAAUAAACAAUAGCAGUAAUAUUUUUAUGGAAAUUCUGGGUUUUUAUGGAAAUACUCUUGCUGAAAUUCUAAUUUUGACUUUCAACUCUUGGUUUUUAUGGAAAGUAAAAUGACUUGUUUGUUAUAUUCAUACAACCCACUCUACAUAAUGAUUUCAUUUUAAUAAAUGCUUGAUGAUCUCCACAGAAAAACUACUUCAAUUCUUUUUUUUUAUUUAACUUUUUGGUUGUUGAAAAUAGCCUUAAUUUUCAAAUCAUUGGAGAAAGAGUAAAGAACAUUUAACAAAUUUAUGUGCCAAAAAUAAAGGAGAAAUUGAAGAGAAAGGGUGCUUGCAGAAGUGGGUGCAAAGAUAAAUCAGUCCAUAAGAAUUAUUGUGGUUAUUAAUUUUUUGGCAAUAUAAAAAUUUUUCAGCAAAUAAAAAUAGAUUUUUUUCUGAUUUACUAAAAAAUUAAUUAAAAACUUCGGCGAUAGCAUUUUUUAUGGGUGCAUGUACCCUCCCUUUAAAAAAAAUAUAAUAAUUAAUACUUAAUAUAGUAUUAAAUACGAAAAUAUCAAUAUUUGACUACACAAAUUUAUAUCAUUAGGUCCUUAAAAUUUAAAAUUGAAGACACAAAAUGAAAUAUAUAUAAAUUUCAUUCUCAUAGGAAAGGAUCCUCUUAUAAUCUUAAAAUAUUUGAGCUUUGAAAGAAUUUUUAAAACAAAUGUACUUUUAUUUUUGUACAAUCAAUAUUUACUUAUUUAUUAUAUUUUUAUUCAUUACACUACUAGAAAAAUGGUCUUUUGUGACACUUGUCUUCUGACACUUUAUUAUAAAGUAUCAGUAAUUACAUAUAUUUGGGGCAUUUUCCGUGUUUAACAUAUAAGUAUCACAAAUUGCUAAUACUAUGGUGUCAGUAAAUUUAAUAUCACAGAUUCGUGACACUAAAGUAUUAGUAGUUAAAAAAAUAAAAUUUUAAUUUUGUAUCUAGUAAUAAUCGCACCGAAGACCCCGAAGCCAUAACCUUUUGCUUUUAACCGCUAUACCACUCGGCCACAAAUUGCAUUUUUGAACUUAUAAAUUAAUAAAUAAAUAAAUAUUAAAACUUAAAACCUAAAACCUAAAAAUUUUUCAUGUAUGGUAUGUGUGAAACCUAAAACCUAAAAAUUUUUGUUAAGUCAAAAAUCUAUCUUAUGGCCGCCGAAGCUUUCUUCCUUCUCUCUCCUUCCCUCUCUCUCGCUCUCUUUCUCUCUCGAACAAUGAUCUACCUUGAAAGCCGCCUCCGUCAACACCUUGAAAGCCGCCGUCCUUAAGCUAAAAUAUCCCUGAAAAGAACCCAGAAAGUGCUGUGAAGAAUUUGGGCAAAGCUAAGGUUUGAAAGUCCGAAUCAGUGUUGUGGUAACUCUUUGCCUCAUUCUCUAUUCUCAUUGUUUAAGUAUUUAUCUGUUAAUUGAUUGAUGUUUAUUGAGUGCAAAUGAGAGCUUGCACUUGUUUGGAAAUCCAGCCAUCUAGGGUUUUUGUUGCUUAUAAUCUAAUUUAUUGUUUAAUAAAAUAAAUAAAACGCAGCUUUAUUAUAGGUGGAAUUCAGUUUAUUAAGUGAAAGAAUGAUUACAAUCGGUGAUUAUGGAUUUAGGUUGAAUGCAAUUUGUUAAUUAAAAGAAUAAUGGUAAUCGACAGUCAUGGGUUUAGUAUGUAUUAUAUAUUUCGUUUAAUGGUGUGUAUGAAAACCCAAAACCUAAAAUUUUCUUAAGUAAAAAUCUCAGUUCUCCCUCACAACCUAUAAGCCCAUCACUCUCUCUCUCUCUCUCUCUCCCCUCUUUCUAGCUAACAACCCAAAACUUAUUGUGAAACCGCCAUUUCAAUCUUUCAAAGCUCAUUAGUUAGCUGGUCAUUGUGAAAAGUAAGGUUAUUGUUUGCUUUAUGUCUAAUUUACUUUAAACAUGGGGAUUGAUGAUAUUCGAGUUGCUGAACACUUGAUUUUGAGGUGAAAGAUUAAUUAAUAGUUUACAAAAUUAUGCUGAAAAUUUGAGGAUUGAUAGACUGUUGUUGUGAACUUGGUUGUUUCCGAACUUGACUAAAUGACUUUCAAUUGAUUUGAAAGUUUGAUUAAACUAAGUUUAAAUGAGAACAUUUUAAUUCUGGAAAUUUUGGAAUGAAUUGGGUCUAUAUUUGAUUUUGAAUGGAUUUCUCAAUAUGGUUGGUUGUUGUCCAAUUUUAUUAGAAAUUACAUAUGUACCAUGUUUGAUAUUGCAAACGUAUAGUUUAACAUAGUUAGAAUAAGCUGAAAUUCAGAUAAACUACACUUCUAUUUGCAUACUUCGAAUCUGGAAAAUUUUAUUUUGAUUGAACCUGUAAUUUAUUUUUAAUGAUUUUUCAAACUCUGCUGCCUCUGCAGUAACUUCUUUUGACAGAACUGUUCAUUAAUCUUUGAUCCUAUCAAACACCAGCCUACUGAUAUCGGAAUAGCCUCAAAUUUUAAUAUGUUGUUGACUUAUAUGUCCACUUAAAAUCUAGAAAGUAUCAUUCUAAUAUAUUUAGUAUUUUAAAUUUAAUAAAUAUUCAAACACCUGCUGCUACUUUUACAGUUUCAUAUGCAAUUUUAACUUAUAUAGUUUUAUCAUGUGAGAAGCAAAUGUAUGGUUGUCCAAAUGACUUGGAAAUUUUUUUUGUGGUGCAUUGAAAUGUCUAAUUAUGUUUUGUAAGUUUCAUAGCAUUCCAAAUUGAAUUAAAGAAAAUCUUAAAUUCAAGUUGUCAAUGUUUCCUAUUAAAUCUUAUUAGUGAUAAAUCUACUAACUUGCAGUACUUUUCAGGAAAAAAAAUGUGUCAACACUGUGAAUUGCAAUGGGAGAAGAAAGUACUAAAGGCAUAAAUCUUUUUUCAUUAUAUUUGGGACUAUUCUUAAAGGUUAGUCUUUUCCUUUUUCCUUUUUUUCUUUUUUAUUUAAGGUAAUCAUAUUCAUUUUAAUUUUAAUUACAAUCAAUUUGGCGUUGUUAGACAACUCGCACCAACCAGUCCAACAGCAAAUGAAGAUAACAUUUUUGAAAUGCAUUCAGUUUUUGACAAUAGCAAAAAGAAAAAGGAAAAAUGAUACUAGUUUAGGCUUUAGGAAAUUUGCACCAUCAUUCUUGCACUGCAGCUGCCUCUAUCUCGGUGCUCUCGGAGAAGUAAUCUUGCUUGAUUUUGCGUGAUAGUUGAUACAAGCCCGUCCUAGCCAUUACAAAAUUGACACUAAAAAGGUUCUAGUUUUUCAUAUUGUAGUUUGAAAAGUCUGCAAUGUUUGCUAUGCUGAUGCCCCAUUUGAAUGUUGGAGCCCAAAAAUGAAUGGUUUUAGGACCAGCCGGGUGGUUCCAAAAAGCUAGGAGCUUGUUAGCUAUUCUUUUUAAUUGAACUAAUUUAACUUAAAUAUUAGCCCGAUUAUUGAUUUCUAUGGUUUGCCAUUGAUUUGAGUUUGACAUUCUUGUUUUGUGUUGGUUUGAGUUUGACAUCCUAGUUUAAGACUUUGAAGGCUUCCAAGAAAUGAUUUUGGAUGAUGAGCAAAUGAGUAAUAGUUUGAAAAUUAAUUUACUGUAUCAAAUAUAUACUUAGUGUAGCAUAUUAAUUUUAAGAACUAUGGAUUAUUCCUUGAAUAUUCUAGUAAAUGGUUAUGUUAUAUAUGCAUGUCUUAAUAUAUAAUAAUUAUAUUUUGAAGUUUGUUUUUUUUUUUUUCCCUUUCUAGGUUUAGGAAAAAUGUUUAAAGUGAUUUUGGGUUAUGAUGUCAAUCAAGUUAAAGCAACAUUACUUGUGAGUGGAAAUAUAUAAUGAUUAUAUUUUUAUUCUACUUUUUUUUUAUCUUCUUAAAGUUUUAUAAUUAGGCAAAAUUAAUGAAUACUUAAUUACAAUUUAGGGUGAUAUUCUUUAAAUGGUUCACAUGAAUAGAUUUAAGUAGUAUAAUAAAUCUCAUACUCACUUUAUAAAGGCUUAACUAAGUUUGCAAAUAUUAUUUCUUUUAGUAGUAAUAAUUUUGGAUCGAACUCUCAAAUUAUUGAAAUAUUUUAUGUCCAAACUUUAUUAUGCCUAAUAUAAAUAUUGAGAUUCAUAGUUAUUUUAUGCCCAGUUUAAGGAAACUGUAGUUUGAGGACUUAUUUUUUGCCUUGUUAAAUAAACUUUUAGAAUGAAUAAAUUGAGGAAAUGAGUGGUGAUUUAUUUAUAAUAGAGCAUUUGUGAUAGCUUUUAACUAUGCACAAAAAUCAUUUGGUAUAUGUAGAUAGAGUAACAUGCUUGUGCUGAAAGUAGAUAUUACAUUGAAAACUUCUUGUCUACUAUAGUUUGCUAUAUAUAUAACCUUUACCAAAAGAGAAUAAUUGAGUUUAUUUAUAAAUAGCUUAUGAGGAUUUUUUUUUUCUUUCGAACAAAAUAAUUUUAUUUCUGUUAAUUGUUGUUUCUCUAAUGGCUGGAUAUUGGCAGCUAAUUUUUUUUUUCUUUUCCAUGUAUUCAUAUGCAGCUUUGAUCAAUGUGUUUGAAGUGUUUAUUCCUCAACUUCACUUAUAUCAUAACCCAUACAGUCUAUUGAAUGGAGAAGCUGCUGGCGUGAUAACGCAAUUAUACUACUCAUAUUCAAACAGUGAAAGACAAUCAUCCUUCUCAAUUUAGCUUCUAGAUUUAUUAAAUUUAGCCACAAGUAGUAGGUAUUUGAUUGGAUGGUAGAAAUUUUUAUGUAUUGAAUUUGGAUUAUUGAGUUAUGAGAGUAGGAUAUCUCAUAUUUUUGUUAUUGAAGUUUUGGAAUUUGUAAUAUAUACUAAUAAUAUUUAAAUGUGAAAUGAAAGAUUUUGCGAUAUAAAUCAAUUUCUUUUUGUUAUUUUGUGGUGCUUUUUAAUUUUACCAAUAAAUCAAUAGACAAUGAUCCAAUUCUUUUUUUUUUUAAAUAAAUUAACUAGUGAUACUAUGGUAACAGUAAUCAUAGACACUAAUAAAAUAUCAAUAAUUACUAACACUAUGGUGUCAUAAUAUUGGUGAUACCGUAGUAAUAGUAAUCACUGACACCACUUACAAGUGUCACUAUUUUUCUGACUCCCAGAUUACUGGCACAAUUAACAAGUGUCAAUGAAAGUAAUUUCUAACACUAUUCUAAAGUCAGUAAAUACCAUUUUUCUAGUAGUGUUAACUAUCAAUCAUGUGAGUAUAUUUACUCAGAAAUAUCAUAUCAAUAGACAAUCUUGAUCCCACACACACGUAAAUAUGUUAAUUUCUAUACGCUUCACUUAACCUGUAGAAUCAAUUAUCUAAAAUGCAAGUUUGUGGCCACAAAAAAAGCCAAAGAAAGAAGAUAAUAACAAUUGACUUGUAUAUUAUGCUCAUACAAUCCACUCGACAUAAUGAUAUCAUUUUAAUAAGGCAAUGGCCGAUGAUCUCCAUUGAAAAACUAAUUCAAUUUUUUUGCUUCAUUUAACUUUUUGGUUGUUGAAAAUAACUUUAAUUAUCAAAUAAUUGGAGAAAGAGUAAAGAACAUUUAACAAAUUUAUGUGCAAAAAAAAAAAAAAGGAGAAGUUGAAGAGAAAGGGUGCUUGCAGAAGUGGGUGUCAAAGAAAAAUCUGUCCAUAAGAAUUAUUGCGGUUAUUUUUUGGCAAUGUAAAAUUUUUAUAGCAAGUAAAAAUUAAUUUUUUCCGAUUUACUAAAACAUUAACAAAAAAACUUCUGUGACAGCAUUUUUUAUGGGUGCAUAUACCCUCCCUUUAAAAAAAAUAAUAAUUAAUGCUUAAUAUAAUAUUAAAUACGAAAAUAUCAAUAUUUGACUACUCAAAUUUACAUCAUUAGGUCCUUAAAAUUUAAAAUUGAAGAUACGAAAGGAAGCAUAUAUAAAUUUCAUUCUCAUGAAAAGGAUUCUCUUAUAAUCUUAUAAUAUUUGAGUUUUGAAAUUUUUUUGAAACAAAUGUAAUUUUAUUUGUGUACAAUCUGAAAUGGCCCAAAACGUCAUAAAACUUUUCAAAUAGGUUCAAUUUCAGAACUUCCUAAAAAUAGUCGUCUUUCCCCAACUUUCUGAAAUUAUGAUAUAGCCCCAAAGAUUUUAUUAUUUCGCACAAAGGUCCUUUUCAACAUAAUACCCAUAUUUUUCAAAGUUCUCAAAACCUUUCACUUUAGUCCAAAAUAUUCAUAAAUUAUAGUAUGGCCCAAAACAUUUCAAAUGUUUGUAAAAACGUCCAACUCUGAAAUUUAAUACUUAUUAAAAACAAAGAUUUCAAAUCUUAGCAUUUAAAUCCAAAUUACUCAAAUCGAUAAAAUACUUUAUUUUAUAAAAAUAAAACCUUUUAGUUUAUGAAAAGUAUUUAAUUAAAUUAAUCUCUUGAGCUUCUCAAAUGCUAAAUCAUGCAUCAAUUAAAUCAUACCGGCUUUACAAGAAUUUAUCGCACUAAUUUGUUCGUUGAGCUCUAAACUAUAUUCUUGAUGUCGCCGUUGUCCGCUGAGUGUCUUCAAUCUUGAUUUCACUUGAUUCACUUGCAUAAAUAUUAUCCUUAAAAAACUAGUGAAAAUGUGAAAUACAAUAUUUAUUAAAUCACUCAAUACAUAUGUUUGUUAUCAUCAAAAUUACAUUAUGUAUAGCCCUUUAGGCUAACAAUCUCCCCCUUUUUGAUGAUGACAAACAUCUCAUGUAUUUUGACAUUUAUACUCCCCCUUAAUACAUGGCAUAUAUAAUUAAACAUAUAAAUCAAAUUCAAAACAAAAACUCCCCCUGAAUAUUUGAUUUAUGAUAAUUUGUAAGCUCCCCCUUAAUAUUUCAAAACCAUGCAUAAAUACUUGAAAUACAAAAUACGUAUUACAUGUCUUCAUAUUCAAAAUACAUGACUUCUCCCCUUCAUCAUCAAAAUUACUAGAAAUUCAUGCGAAGAUCGAUAAUAUGUCAAUGGUUAAUCAAGAAACAUAUAAUAACCAAACAUCCAAUUAACCAUUAAAUGAUCAUGAAUCAUCAUGCCAUCAAAAGAAUGUUCUAAAUGCAUAUUAUCCAAAAUCAUAUUGUAUGCUCCCCCUAAAUAUAUGGCCAAUUAAAAAAUUUAACCAAAAUGAUAUUAUCCAAAAACAUAUCAUAUUUAUCUCUCCCUUCAUAAAAAAUAGAUAGAUGCAAUCGAAACAAGAGCAUAAAAAAUAAUUCGAUAAAGAUAUUACCAAUUUUGUGCGAGCAAAAAUUUCGGCAGAGUCUCCCCUUAAAAUGAACAAAUCCUUAAAUAUACAACAUGGUUAAAAACACUUCCAUAUAAGCUGAAACAAUUAUAACAAACCAACAACUCCAUUAAUUCAUCAAGCAAUACACAUACAAUCAUCAAUCAUCAAAAGUACUAUAAAUCCAUGCUUAUACCAAAAAGAAUAUCUCAAUGAUUAAUCAAGAAGCAUAAAAAUAAAGCAUGCAAUUAAUCCAAAGAGUCAUAUUCAUUCUAAGAAUUCAGAAAAUAUCAUCCAAAUAUAAAUUAUCCAAAUAUUAAACAACCAUCAUCCGUAAUCCACAAUUAGAACAAUUAUGCAUAUGAAAAUGUAGGCGCAUAAUAUAAUAAGGAACCAUGGUAAUUUAAAAUACCCAAAAAUGCACAAAUUCGGUUUUGGAAAAUAAUUAGUGAAAUGAAUGAUUUUAAACCGAUUGUAUUGAUCCAAGAGAUGAUUUAAGAUAAUGGAUGGUGUUGAUUGGAUCAAAAGUGGACUAAAAAGAGUUUAAAUUGGAAGAGAAAGAAAUGGGUAAGUUAGGUUUUUUGAUUUUGGGUUUUAUGUGGAGAGAUAAUGAAAUCAAGUUUUGAGAGUGAAAAUUGAAGGAGUAAUGGAUGAAUAAUGAGUUGGAUGAUUGAUUUUAGCAAGAGAAUGAGUGAAAGAUGAAGAAAUUUGAGAAAGAAAAUGGAGAACACUAUUCACGCGUGAAUGAAAUGAGAAUGGAAUGAUGAAGAACAAGUGAAGAAAUCAUGAUGGAGAAGUGUUUAAUGAAGAUAAAAUGCAUGGGUAUUAGUUUGAAUGGUUGAUUUGGGCAUGAAAAUGGAUGAAAAAAGAAGAAAUUGAAAGUGAAAAUGGAUGGGUUGCUCACGGUUUUGAGUGAAAGAGAGAACAUGUGCAGAAAAUUAACAAAGGAAGAAGAAGAAGCAAAAAAAAUUUUCCCAACCCGUGACCAAGCGGCUAGCCGCUUGCUCUCGGGUUGGGGACAGUUUCCAAGCGGCUAGCCGCUUGGAACAGGCGGCUAGCCGCCUGUUCCAGCUGCACUCAAGUUGAUUUCCGACUAAUUUCGAUCAAUUUUGUGACCAUUUUGUGAUCCUGAAACAUCUCAAGAGCCAAUUUAAUGCAUGAUUCAUGAUUUUAAACAUCUAAAAGAUGAUUAAUUCAAACAAAUAAUCCAUCCAACAAGCAUAUAUUCAUGAAGCACAUAAGCAUUCAAAAAUUAAUAAAUCAAACACCACAUAUAUCUAACUUGCUCAAACACUUCAUAAACAUUAAUAAUCAUCAAGCAAACGAUUUUAAUAGAUUCAAUAACAUAAAUAGAGAUGUUAAUGCGAAAAUUUCAUCAUCCCAAGUUCAUGCCGAAUUUUUGAAAAUUGUUCUUCGCAAAGGGGUUUUGUAAAAAUAUCGGCAAGUUGUUUUUCCGUAAAGAUAAAUUCUAAUGCAAUAUCACCUUUUUGAACAUGAUCUCUCAAGAAAUGAUGCCUAAUCUCUAUAUGCUUGGUUCUAGAAUGUUGAAUGGGAUUCUUUGAAAGAUUUAUGGUGCUAGUAUUAUCACACUUGAUAGGAAUUUGUUCAAGAUUAAUACCAUAGUCUCUAAGUGUUUGUUUCAUCCAAAGUGCUUGUGCACAACAACUACCUGCGGCAAUAUAUUCCGCCUCAGUAGUUGAGAGUGUCACCGAAUUUUGUUUCUUACUAAACCAUGAAACAAGUGAAUGACUAAGAAAAUGGCAAGUUCCACUAGUACUCUUCCUAUCGACCUUGUGACCAGCAAAAUCGGCAUUCGAAUAACAAGCUAAAUCUAUAUGAGUUCCUCUAGGAUACCAAAGGCCAAUAUCUAUGGUUCUACUCAAAUAAUGAAAAAUUCUUUUAACAUAAAGCAAAUGAGAUUUCUUGGGACAUGAUUAAAAUCUUGCACACAAACAUACACUAAACAUGAUAUCGGGUCUACUUGCAGUUAAGUAAAGUAAGGAUCCAAUCAUACAUCGAUACUUUUUAAUAUCAACCACUUUACCUUUUUCAUCUUUAUCAAGCAUGAUUGUUGUACUCAUUGGAGUAUUCUUGGUAUUUGAUUCAUCAAUACCAAAUCUCUUGAGCAAGUCUUUGACGUACUUAGCUUGGUUGAUGAAGAUCCCCUCAUUGGUUUGUUUGAUUUGAAGUCUAAGAAAAUACUUCAAUUCUCCCAUCAUGCUCAUCUCAAAUUCCUUACUUAUACAAGAGGAAAAUUCUUUGCACAAAGAUUCAUUAGUAGAACCAAAAAUAAUAUCAUCAACAUAAAUUUGAACAACAAGUAUAUCUUGAUUUUUAUUUUUAAUAAAGAGGGUAGUAUCUGCUCUUCCCAUCGAAAAAUCGUUAUCCAAUAAGAAAUUUUUAAGCCUAUCAUACCAUGUUCUAGGUGCUUGUUUUAAUCCAUAUAAUGCUUUUGAUAACUUAUACACAUGAUUUGGAAAUUUCUCAUUUUCGAAACCAGGGGGUUGUUUCACAUAAACUUCCUCCAUAAUAUAACCAUUUAGGAAAUCACUCUUGACAUCCAUUUGAAAUAAAAUAAAAUCUUUAUGACAUGCAAAUGCUAACAACAUCCUAAUGGAUUCUAAUCUAGCUACAAGUGCAAAAGUUUCAUCGAAAUCGAUUCCUUCUUCUUGGUUGUAUCAUUGAGCCACUAAUCUACCUUUAUUUCUUACAACCACACCGGAUUCAUCCAUUUUAUUUCUAAAUACCCAUUUAGUGCCUAUAAUGGAUUGAUGUUCCGGUUUAGGAACCAAUUCCCAUACUUUAUUUCUCUCAAAUUGAUUUAACUACUUUUGCAUUGCCAUAAUCCAAAACUCAUCAUUUUCCGCAUUCGCAAAAGAUUUUGGUUCAAUUUGAGAAAUAAAUGCAGCAUGCUCACAUGUGUUUCUAAGUGAUGAUCUAGUUGUGAUACCUCUUGAAGGAUCACCUAAAAUUAAAUCCUUAGGAUGAGCGGAAACAUACCUCCACUCCUUGGGGAGUGUUUGAGAACUACCUUCUUGUUGCUCCAGCUCCAUAUUUGUUUGUUCUUCUUGUCUAUCCUCUUGAUUUUCUUGUGGUGCAUUCUCUUGAUUCUCUUUUGAUGAUUCUUCUUGUAAUUCUCCAUCUGCAUUAUCAUUAACAACUCCUUUCUCCGCAGAGGAGGGGUUAGAUUCAUCAAACGUAACAUGCAUGGAUUCUUCCACAACUAAAGUUCUUUUAUUAUAAACUCUAUAAGCUUUGCUUGAGUUUGAAUACCCGAGAAAGAUGCCAACAUCAGAUUUUGGAUCAAAUUUAUCAAGAUAAUCUUUUUUGUUUAAAAUAAAACAUUUGCAUCCAAAAACUUUGAAAUAACCAAUGUUGAGUUUUCUAUCUUUCCAAAGCUCAUAGGGAGUUUUAUUGAGAUGAGGUCUAAUCAACACCCGAUUUAAAACAUAACAAGCGGUGUUGACGGCUUCGGCCCAAAAAUAUUUUAGUAAUGCAUUUUCAUUUAACAUGGUCCUAGCCAUUUCUUGAAUAGACCUAUUCUUUCUCUCAACAACUCCAUUUUGUUGUGGAGUCCUAGGUUAUGAAAAUUGAUACUCAAUGCCAAAAUCAUUACAAAAAUUUUCAAAUGCAUGAUUUUCAAACUCUCCACCAUGAUCACUUCUAAUACAAGUAAUAGAAUAACCCUUUUCAUUUUGAACCUUUUUAUAGAAAAUUCUAAAUGCAUCAAUGACAUCAUCCUUAUUAGCUAAGAAUAAUACCCAUGUGUAUCUAGAAUAAUCAUCUACAAUUACAAAUGCAUAAAAUUUGCCACUUAAACUAGCAUAUCUAGAGGGUCCAAACAAAUCUAUGUGAAGUAAUUGAAGAUGUUUUAAAGUAGAGAUAUGAUUCUUGUUUUUGAAAGAGGUUUUGAUUUGUUUUCCAAAUUGACAUGCUUCACAAAUUCUAUCCUUUUGAAAACCAAUUUUUGGAAGACCUUUAACUAAAUCGUUUUUCGAAAUUUUUGAAAUUAAAUCCAUGCUUGCAUGUCCUAGUCUUCUAUGCCAUAACCAACCAUCAUCAUGCAAUGCCGAAAAACAUUUAUCAUGAGUAGAUGCACAUUCUAUAUCAAUCGUGUAAACAUUGCCACAUCUAUUUCCCAUAAACAAAAUUUUCCCAUCACAUGCAUUCUCAAUAACACAUCUUGAUUUAUCAAAAACAACUUUAUAACCUUUGUCACAUAGUCGACUAAUGCUAAUCAAAUUGUGUUUCAAAUUUUCAACAAAACACACAUUUUCAAUUAGAGUUGAAGAAAUUUUACCAACAUUUCCAAUUCCGAGAAUUUUUCCUUUUGAGUUAUCUCCAAAGGAUACAUCUCCACCAUUUUCGAUUUUGGUGAAACUUGAGAACCAUGCAUAGUUUCCUGUCAUAUGCCUAGAACAUUCGCUAUCCAAGUACCAUUUAUUUUUCUUUUUCUUCAAGCCCGGCAAAGAAAAUCUUAUGUCUUAGGUACCCAAACCUUUUUGGGUCCUUGAUCGUUAGCAAUGGUUCCUUUUGGAACCCACACACAUUUGACACCAUUAUAUGCAUUCCUUUUUACGGGACAUCUAUAUUUCAUGUGGCCAUUUUAAUUACAAUAAUGACAAAAAAUCUUAUGAUCAUUUGUGGAGGUAGCUUUAACAAAAUAAUUCUUAUAAUCUUUUGCUUCAAGUUAGGCUUAUACCCAAGUCCUCCUUUAUCAAAAACACAUUUUUGGGAGUUAAGCAUGUUAUCCAAUAUCUUUUACCCAUUUCUAAAUUUUAGAACAACAUUACUAAGUUCAAUAUUCUUUUUCUUGAGCAUUUCAUUUUCCUUUUUCAAAUCAUCUACAUGUGACUCUAAAUGCUCAUGUAAAGUGCUAGAUUUUUCAUUUAAUAAUGCAACUCUAUUAUGCAAGGUUUUAUUCUCUAAUUCUAAUCCUUUAAUCUUCUCAUUCAAUGACUCAUUGCAUUUUUGCAUGGCAUCCUUUUCAUUUGUAGAUUCUAGCAAUUUCUUUUUAAGGCAUGCAUUCUUUUUACUAAUUUUCAUCAACUCAUCAUGCAUUUCUUUAAAAGCAUCAUAUAAUUCAUCAUAGGUUGGAUCACUUACCUCAUUGAGAUCAUCAUCAUCUCCUAGUGCCAUAAGUGCUAGGUUUGAUACUUCUUGCGACUCAUCUUCAUCACUUGAAUCUUCAUCGCUAUCAUCCCAAGUAGCAACCAUAGCUUUCUUCUUGAGUUUGUUGAGAAGUGGGCAUUCCGAUCUUAUAUGGCCGGGCUUCUUGCAUUCAUAGCAUAUGAUUACCUCUUUCUUCUCCUUUUGGUUUUUGAAAUUUUUGAAUUUUCUUCGGUCACCGGGUUUCAUGAAAAAAAUUUUGAACCUCCUUGCUAGCAUAGCCAACUCCUCAUCAUUUGGCUCACUUUCCCCAUCACUCUCAUAUUUGGUGACUUUGAGAGCAAUGUUUUUCUUCCUUUCCUCAUUUCCUCUUUCAGCUGCUAAAUCUUCCUCAUAAAAAUAAGAAAACCAAUUAAAUCAUCAAUAGGUAAGAUAUUCAAAUCUUUAGCUUCCUCAAUGGCAGUCCUUUUUGGUCUCCAUUCCUUAGGUAACGACCUAAUGAUUUCUUAACUUUCUCGCUAUUUGAAAAGGUCUUUCCUAGAGCUCCUAGAGUGUUUACUAUAUCCGUAAAUCUAGUAUACAUAGAAUACACACUCUCAUUUUAUUCCAUUUGGAACAAUUCAUAUUGCCGAGUGUACCUACUAAUUUUAGACUCUUUCACUUGAUUCGUGCCUUCAUAAACAACUUCAAGUUUGUGCCAAAUUUCAUUAGCACUUUCACAACUAGACACUCUAUGAAACUCUUUCUUAUCGAGUGCACAAAGCAAGGCAUUCAUGGCUUUGGAAUUUAGAGAAGCUUUUCUCUUUUCCAAUUCAUUCCAUUCCCGUGAAGGUUUCGGAAUGUCUUCCCCAAUUUCAUUUUUAGUCAAAGGCAUAAAUGGACCAUCACAUACAACUUCCCAAAUUUCAUAAUCUAAUGCUUGUAAGUAAAUUCUCAUCAUAGUUUUCCAAUACGGGUAGUCAUUUCCGUCAAAGAACGGUGGCCUAGUUGUGGAUUGUCCUUCCCUAAAGAUUGAAUCAUUUUGGGUUGCCAUGGAUCUUUUACUCUAGACGGUUAGUCCUAACAAGAGAACCAAGCUCUGAUACCAAAUGAAAUGCAAGUAACGCAACCCAAGAGGGGGGUGAAUUAGGUUUUUAAAAUAAAUGCAAUACGAUUCGCACAAUAAAUCAAUCUAAUGCCUUAAUGAAAUAGAGAACAAUAAAUUCAAACAAGCGUAAAAAUAAAAGAGCAAGGGAAGAGAAAAAUGAACACGUGGAUUUUUACGUGGUUCGGCAAUCCCCGCCUACGUCCACGCCUCCAAGCCAACCAAGCUCGAGAAUUUCACUAUCCAAGCCUCCCAAGGCUUCAAGUUUUUACAAUUGACUUCCAAGGUGUCAAUGAACCUUUACAACCAAGAGAUUAUCUCCCCAAUCUCUUCACUCCAAGUGUUUCCCACACUUACACACUCACAAUUUGAUAAGAAAUGAAAAUUACAACAAAAACUCUCUUUAAGAGUGGAUAUGCAACUAAUAGCUCAAUAAUGAUUCAAUCAAUGAUGAUUUGUGUUUUGGAAGCUCAAUAUAUGUUGUAUGAUCUUAUAUUUGCGUGCAUUAGUUCUUAGAAUGAAGUUUGAGUUGAGUUUUUAUAGUGAAAGCCCAAAAACUAGCCGUUAUAGGCAAAUUCCCGCGCCCAAGCGGUUAGCCGCUUGAUUAUCUGGCUAGCCGCUCAGGAACAGUGAUAUUACCAUUAUCUUUAAAUUGCUACAGUACUACUGUUCACUAAAAUUACACUUUAGCCCAAAAUUUUCUAUAAUUAUACUUUGGCCCAAAACGUCAUAAAACUUUUCAAAUAAGUCCACUUUCAGAACUUCCUAAAAAUAGUUGUCUUUCCCAAACUUUCUGAAAUUAUGAUAUGACCCCAAAGAUUUUAUUAUUUCGCAUAAAGGUCCUUUUUAACAUAAUACCCAUAUUUUUCAAAGUUCUCAAAACCUUUCACUUUAGUCCAAAAUAUUUAUAAAUUAUAGUAUGGCCCAAAACAUUUCAAAUGUUUGUAAAAACGUCCAACUCCGAAAUUUAAUACUUAUUAAAAAUAAAGAUUUUAAAUCUUAGCAUUUAAAUCCAAAUUACUCAAAUCGACAAAAUACUUUAUUUUAUAAAAAUAAAACCUUUUAGUUUAUGAAAAGUAUUUAAUUAAAUUAAUCUCUUGAGCUUCUCAAAUGCUAAAUCAUACAUAAAUUAAAUCAUACCGGCUUUACAAGAAUUUAUCGCACUAAUUUGUUCGUUGAGCUCUAAACUAUAUUCUUGAUGUCGCCGUUGUCCGUUGAGUGUCUUCAAUCUUGAUUUCACUUGAUUCACUUGCAUAAAUAUUAUCCUUAAAAAACUAGUGAAAAUGUGAAAUACAAUAUUUAUUAAAUCACUUAAUACAUAUGUUUGUUAUUAUCAAAAUUACAUUAUGUAUAGCCCUUUAGGCUAACACAAUCAAUAUUUACUUAUUUAUUAUAUUUUAAUUUAUUAACUAUCAAUCAUGUAAGUAUAUUUAGUCAGAAAAAUUAUAUCAAGAGAGAAUCCUAAUUUCACGCAAACACAAAUACAAGAAAAAUAUGUCAAUUUCUAUACUAUUCACUUUCCUGUAGAAUCAAUUAUCUAAAGUGCAAGUUUGUGGCUACAGAAAACUCACCAAAGAAAGAAGAUAAUAACAAUUGAGCAUUGAUAGCAAAACUAAUGCAUCAUUUUCUUCUUGACUUGAUGAGAUGGCGCCAUUACAAAAAAACAAGUACCUUAAUUGACGGGCACUGAGUGAUGUGAAUACUACCAGCCAGUUCAUCUCUUCCAGUCUUGCUUAAUCACAAUCACAAACACCACGAGAUUGACAUUUGCAUUAUAUAAAUCUUCAGCAGUCGAAACACCUUGCAUUACCAAAUAAACCAGUAACAAACAAAGCAAUCUUUCAUGGAGAGGAACCUUAGUCUCAGUAUGAUCACUGUGUCAUUAACCCACUUCCUGCUUCUUUGCUUGGUUGUUGCAGCAGCAGCAGCAGCAAGCAACAAUAUUACCACAGACCAACAAGCUCUUCUUGCCCUGAAAGAUCAUAUAACUUAUGAUCCAACCAACCUGGUUGCCAUUAAUUGGACCUCGAACACCUCUGUUUGCACCUGGAUUGGCAUCACUUGUGAUGUCAAUAGCCACAGAGUCACAGCCUUAGAUAUUUCUCAAUUCAAUCUACAAGGCACCAUCUCUCCUCAACUUGGAAACCUCUCUUCACUCACAACACUUAAUCUUAGUCAUAACAAGCUUUCUGGAAAUGUUCCCUCCUCCAUCUACACCAUGCAUACGCUAAAAUUUCUAGACUUCACUGAUAACCAGCUCUCUGGUUCAGUGUCUUCCUUCGUCUUCAACAUGUCUUCAAUAUUAGACAUUCGUUUGACCAAUAACAGACUUUCUGGUGAGCUUCCAAAAAAUAUUUGCAACUAUCUUCCUCAUUUGAAAGCCCUUUUUUUGGACAAAAACAUGUUUCAUGGCAAAAUUCCUUCUGCUUUAUCAAAGUGCAAACAACUGCAACAAUUAACUUUGCAGUCCAAUAAUUUAUCCGGUGCAAUACCAAAAGAAAUCGGCAACUUGACCAUGCUCAAAGGGAUAUAUCUCGGCUACAACAAACUCCACGGUUUGUUCAUAAUACUAUAUAAAUAUUUUAAUUUAUCACUUAUUAUCUUUCGUGAAUAAUUUAGAUAAGAUCUUGUAAGUGACAUUUUUUGCAUCUAUGUUAAUUUACCAGGUGAGAUACCCCACGAAAUCGCUAAUCUUCGAAAUCUAGAAGCUUUAAUGCUAGGAAUGAACAACCUAGUUGGUGUGGUAUCAGCUAGAAUCUUCAACAUGUCAACACUGAAGGUAAUUACCCUCAUAAAUAACUCUCUCAGCGGUAGUCUUCCAUCAAGAAUAGACCUUUCACUUCCAACUAUUAACGAGCUUAACUUGGCACUUAAUAGAUUUUCUGGAACCGUUCCUAGUUCCAUCACCAAUGCUUCUAAGCUCACCUUGCUAGAGUUGGGAGGAAACACAUUUUUGGGAUUUAUUCCAAACACAAUUGGUAAUUUAAGAAACCUUGAGUGGCUCGGCUUGGCUAAUAACUACUUGACAUCUUCAACCUCAAAAUUGAGCUUUCUUUCCUCUUUGGCAAAUUGCAAGAAAUUAAGAUCCUUAUCCUUAGAACGCAAUCCACUUGGCGGCUUCCUUCCAAGUUCAAUGGGUAAUCUUUCUAUGUCUUUAGAAACACUUUUUAUCGCCAAUUGCGGUAUUAUUGGCAAUAUUCCUCAAGCAAUUAGCAAUUUAAGCAACUUGCUGGCCUUAGUAUUAGAAGGCAAUAAAUUGACUGGACCAAUUCCAAUUACAUUCGCCCGACUGCAGAAACUUCAAGGCUUAUAUCUUGCAUCCAAUAAGUUGGUAGGUUCAUUCCCAGAUGAGCUUUGCCAUCUAGGUAGGCUGGCUGAAUUGGCCUUACUUGACAAUAGGCUUUCAGGAUCUAUACAUUCAUGUGUAAGUAAUCUCACUUCUCUAAGAUAUCUCUAUUUAGGGUCCAAUAGGUUUACUUCUGUCAUUCCCUCAACUUUCUGGAGCCUAAAAGACAUCUUGUUUUUUGACUUUUCAUCAAAUUUCUUGGUUGGUCCUCUUUCUUUCGACAUAGGUAAUUUGAAGGUGCUUCUAGGAAUAAAUUUAUCAGAAAAUAACUUAUCGGGUGAUAUGCCAGCCACAAUUGGAGGACUAAAACACCUUCAAAUUAUGGACCUAGCAUAUAAUAGAUUGGAAGGGCGAAUUCCCGAAUCAUUUGGUGAGUUGACAAGUUUGGAGGUUUUGAAUUUGUCAAAUAAUAAAAUCUCUGGGUCUAUUCCAAAAUCCAUGGAGAAACUCUUUUACCUCCGAGAGUUAAAUCUCUCUUUCAAUGAACUUGAAGGUGAGAUUCCUAGUGGAGGAAUUUUUGCCAACUUCACAGCUGAGUCAUUUAUGGGAAAUGAGUUAUUGUGUGGUUUACCAAAUCUUCAAGUCCAACCAUGCAAAGUUAGCAAGCCGAGGACAGAACAUAAAUCAAGGAAAAACAUACUUCUCAUUGUGAUUGUUUUGCCAUUGAGUGUUGCUCUAACAAUAGCAAUCACUCUAGCUCUCAAAUCUAAGCUGAUCGAAUGUGGAAAAAGAUGCACAGUGUUGUCAAAUGAUAGUGUCUUGUCAUCACAAGCAACACUAAGAAGAUUUUCAUACUUAGAACUUUUACAAGCAACAGAUAAUUUUGCUGAAAACAGCGUAAUUGGCAUAGGAGGUUUUGGUUCUGUUUACGGUGGAAGACUUGAAGAUGGGAUGAAGAUUGCAAUAAAAGUGUUUCACCAGCAAUGUGCAAGCGCAUUGAAGAGUUUUGAGGCUGAAUGUGAAGUGUUAAAAAAUAUUCGCCAUCGAAACCUUAUCAAAGUUAUCAGCAGUUGCUCGAACGAUGACUUCAAAGCAUUAGUCCUAGAAUACAUGUCCAACGGGAGUUUGGAGGAUUGGCUGCAUUCGAGCAAUUACGUGCUGAAUAUUUUUCAAAGGUUGAACAUAAUGAUUGACGUUGCAUCAGCUUUAGAAUAUCUCCACUUCGAUCAUUCAACUCCUAUUAUUCAUUGUGACUUAAAGCCUAGUAAUGUAUUGUUGGACGAAAAUAUGGUUGCUCAUUUGAGUGAUUUUGGCAUAGCAAAGCUUUUAAGUGGAGAGGAUGAGUAUGUGAUGCGAACAAAAACCCUUGCCACUAUAGGUUAUAUGGCACCAGGUUUGCUUCAAACAACUUUUGUUUUUAGUUCAUUUUAAAUUUUCAAACUUAUUGAUUUUUACAAUCCUCACAUCAAAAUUUUAUUGAUUAUUUAUCUAAUUGUGAAAUUAAUUUGAUUCAUAGAGUACGGCAUAGAAGGAGAAGUAUCUACAAAAAGUGAUGUUUACAGUUAUGGGAUUAUGUUGAUGGAAACUUUUACCGAGAAAAAACCCACAGAUGAAAUUUUUGUUGCAGAAUUGAGCUUAAAGCGUUGGGUUAAUGACUUGCUUCCUACUUCAUUAGUGGAAGUUGUGGACAAAACUCUGCUAAGUGGAGAGGAAAAACAUUCUGCAGCAAAGGAGCAAUGUCUGUUGUCUAUCUUUAGUUUGGCUCUGGAGUGUACAAUGGAAUCACCGGAAAAGAGGAUUAAUGCAAAAGAUAUUGUUACCGGAUUACUCAAGAUAAGAGACACAUUGAGUAAAAGGAUAGGAAAUUUAAGUUAAUUUCGUUUGCUUCCAUUGAUAGUUAAUCUGAAUUCAUGUAAUAAGUGUAGGAAUGUUAUAUCUUUUCCUUUCAUAUAUUUUUUUUCCUUGAGAAAACUGUUGUAGUCAUCUUGUUUCCAUGGACAGAGUUGAUUUAGUUCUUCCAAGAAAUGCUACUGAUGACAUUUGUUUUAUACUUUCUCUUUUUUUGCAUGCGUUUAGGUAGAAUAGUGGUCUAGCUGCAGGCUAAUAAGUCAAGCUAUGCCAAAAGCGUAUGAUUUAAUUUAUUAAACAUAACUUCAAGUUCAAGAAGUGUUUCUCAUUGCCACCAAUGCUUUGGACACCUGUUGGAAGGUUUGUUGUCCUCAGCUUUUGUUUAGAGCAAAAGUUCGAGUCCCAUAAAGGCUCAAACAUUCCUUUCCUUCUGUCCCAAGGGCGCCUUCUGUCCUCUGUUUUCUGUUUCCACACACAAAUAGCCAAAAGAAUUUAGAAUGACAACUGGGACAUAUAUAAGAGUGAAAUAAUUAAAAAAAUAAUGCUUUCUUGUUUGUCGUGUUAAAAUCGUAAGUACCGAAGUACUGUGAAAGAGAUUGAUUUACAGAAACUGAAGCCAAGGGUUCAAAAAAAAAGUGCAAAGAGAAUAAUUGUAUUGGUAGCACAAUGUCAUAUUCAUACAGAGAUCAAGUAUAUUAUUUACGGCUGGUAAGGACUAAGAAUUGAUGUAGCUAGAAUGCGAAGAUGAUAAGGUAUGUUGUGCACUAUUGUUUUAUUCUACAAUCAAUCUUGACCCUUGAUGCUUGGCUCUCAAUCUUGUCCAUUGAUCUUCUCUGAUUUGGGAGACUUGAAGACCUUUCAGUAUCCUGCCUUGUUGUUGGUAUCUUCCAUGCUGUAGAACCGCCGACUUGCCAAGUAUUUGUUCAUUGAUGCAUUUUAUGAAACAGUUGGCCUGCUCAUAGCAAACAGCUCCUGUGUUAACUCCCCCUCCAUAGCUCAACUAUCUGGGAAGACAAUUAAUUGAGCUUGUUUCACAAUUAUAUGAAUCUGAAAGUUCAAUUUUAAAAAUUACAUUCGGACUCUACAUUUUCUAAUGAACAUUGGUUUGGCUUAUAAGCUUAAUAUG
This 25528-nucleotide long non-coding RNA is filed under the name Citrus maxima (pomelo). RNAcentral's name for it is "long non-coding RNA (CMAX_LNC003932)". The record is from RNAcentral. Lineage: Eukaryota; Viridiplantae; Streptophyta; Magnoliopsida; Sapindales; Rutaceae.